AUACGUAGGUGACAAGCGUUAUCCGGAUUUACUGGGUGUAAAGGGCGCGUAGGCGGGAUGGCAAGUCAGAUGUGAAAUCUCCGGGCUCGACCCGGAAACUGCAUUUGAAACUGUCGUUCUUGAGUAUCGGAGAGGCAAGCGGAAUUCCUAGUGUAGCGGUGAAAUGCGUAGAUAUUAGGAGGAACACCAGUGGCGAAGGCGACUUACUGGGCCGUAACUGACGCUGAGGCGCGAAAGCGUGGGGAGCGAACAGGAUUAGAUACCCUGGUAGUCCACACUGUAAACGAUGAAUGCUAGGUGUAAGAGGUAUCGACCCCUUUUGUGCCGGAGUCAACACAAUAAGCAUUCCGCCUGGGGAGUACGGCCGCAAGGUUGAAACUCAAAUGAAUUGGCGGGG
This 397-nucleotide ribosomal RNA is filed under the name uncultured bacterium. Its description in RNAcentral is "partial 16S ribosomal RNA". It matches the Rfam family "Bacterial small subunit ribosomal RNA", at positions 523 to 918 of the family's 1533-position model. The record is from RNAcentral.